CGAUUAGGUCGGGAACUCAAAGGAGACUGCCAGUGAUAAACUGGAGGAAGGUGGGGAUGACGUCAAGUCAUCAUGGCCCUUACGACCAGGGCUACACACGUGCUACAAUGGCGCAUACAAAGAGAAGCGACCUCGCGAGAGCAAGCGGACCUCAUAAAGUGCGUCGUAGUCCGGAUUGGAGUCUGCAACUCGACUCCAUGAAGUCGGAAUCGCUAGUAAUCGUGGAUCAGAAUGCCACGGUGAAUACGUUCCCGGGCCUUGUACACACCGCCCGUCACACCAUGGGAGUGGGUUGCAAAAGAAGUAGGUAGCUUAACCUUCGGGAGGGCGCUUACCACUUUGUGAUUCAUGACUGGGGUGAAGUCGUAACAAGGUAACCGUAGGGGAACCUG
RNAcentral lists this ribosomal RNA (392 nucleotides) under Salmonella enterica subsp. enterica serovar Muenchen. RNAcentral's name for it is "bacterial SSU rRNA". It matches the Rfam family "Bacterial small subunit ribosomal RNA", at positions 1122 to 1514 of the family's 1533-position model. Lineage: Bacteria; Pseudomonadati; Pseudomonadota; Gammaproteobacteria; Enterobacterales; Enterobacteriaceae. The record is from RNAcentral.